CUCCGUGCCGAUUCACCCUAUGGCGAGAAUGGAGGAGGCCUCCAAGCUCUGUCCUCUCUCCAUUCCUUGACGAUCACUAAAGGAAUGCCCUAAGCUCCUCGCCUGCUAUUUGCCGUCGUCCUCUUCUUCUGGUUUCCCCUUCCCAUCCUCCCUACAAUCCCUAACGCUACAUGGCGUGGAGACACUGGCACCCCUCUCGAACCUCACCUCUCUCAUUGAACUGGAAAUACAUGAUUGCGGGGGCUCCCAAGGCGCGGGCUUGCGGCGUCUCCUCGCCCACGGCUGUCUCCGCGAGUUAUCCGUCUCCGAAACCCCCAAUUUCUUCUCCACUGAAUGCUGUUCAGACUUCAGAGGACACCCUCGAACCCUCGUCCCCUUCCUCCAAACAGCAGUCGCUGUUCACGGAUGACGUCGCAGGACUCCUUGCGGCACCCAUCUGCACGCUCCUCUCUUCCUCCCUCACCAAUUUAUACCUUGGGGAGAAUCAGAUGGAGCGCUUCACAGAGGAGAAGGACGAGGCCCUUGAGCUCCUCACCUCCCUUGAGCUCCUUCACGGAUGAUCCUUUUCCCUUUUUUCUGCAGAGGGAUCUUCUUGGAACUGUACAUUCUUAUAGGCUUAUAGGAACCUUUCUAUAUUCAAGGAAAAUUCCCUGUUAUCAGCUAUGAAUACCUCAACAUGUAUCUCCCGCCAUGUAGAUAAAACUGGUUAGUACAUUUGAACUCUACCAUGCAAUCUCGUGUGACAUUUAGCACAUCCUUCUCCUUGCUAGUUGCUACUAUUGAUAGAUAGAGACCAUUGCAGUAUCAUGCUAUGUGAUUGUAGAAGUUUUAUAGCCCCCCCCCCCCCCCCCCCCUCACUUGUGAACCUGCAGAAAUAAGCUUCAUCCUCUGGACUUUCUGUUUCAGUAUUUUCAUUCCUAAUUUACUUGUUGUGGAGAUCUAUGAAUUAAGCCAGUUUAAGAGAACACAUCUCCGCUUGUACCAUUCUUCUUCAAACACUUGCCUGUUACCUUGGGUACUCCUGCAUGAUAUAAUUUGCAUCCUCACAUUUUUUUAACUCUGAAACUACUGUAUAGUUCUGAAUUGAUACUCCCAUUUAUUUUCUUGACAUAGGAACAAUUUGACCUUCAUACAUCAUAAUUCAUAUUCUGCCUUUCAGUCAAUAUGGCUAACAUUGAAUAUCUUUAACUACUAUUUGUUCUCUAGGUAAGCUCCAUUGGGUUCUCUUGACAUAACAGAACUUUGCUUCAAUUUGACUGUACUAGUACAAAGUGAUUGCCCUUUCCACUAUCCUAUCACUGGUUGCCGUUACUUUCCUAACAUUGUCACCGUCAAGGGUCAUAAUAUUAUCUUAUUUUGACCUGUUCUGCAGUGUUCUUCAAAUUUUACAUCUUCUAGCCUCAUAUUAUUCUGGACAUACUCACGCACUGUUUUAUGUCUCCAAGUUGGAGACUCAACUGUGGUAUUCUCAACAUGUAACUUCCAUCCUGUACACAAGGUUGGCUAGUAUAUGCAAAAUCACCCAUACUUCAGUCAAUAAUUGUUUCACUGCCGUUUGAUGCUCUGGUUUUUUUAAGCAUCCUGGAAAAUUACUUUCUGCCUUUGUAAUGCCUCAAUAAAUGGUUAUUCCUUUUCAUGCACUCUGAGAAUUACUUGUUAAUUCUGAACUCUGAGAUUCUAAUUUCUGUGCGCAGCAUAUGACUAGCUUGUUGUUUGCAUAUGGUGCUUAUAUGCUACUUAGCUGCUCUUCUUAUUGUCGAUCAUGGUUCUUUGGCAGAUGUGGGAUACAUACUCUUUGGACAGGCUAGUACCUGUCAAUUUUCAUCGCUAAUUUGGUAUGUAGUGGACCUUAAGUCGGUAUGUGUUCAUUUGUAAUUGUAGCCAAUUAUAUUUUGAGUACACAGAGGCAGGAGGAGGAGGUAGCACCAAGUGUCGCAAUGAUACUAUACUGAUUUUUACAGAUAAUCUUCUGUAGAGCAGCAAUAAGUACACAGAGACAGGAGCUAGCACGACACUGAAAGAUUCUUAACUACCUUUUCCCAUCUGUGUUGAAGAAAACCCAUUUUUUUCAUAUUUGUACAGAUCUGCGCCAACAACACAAGAUGCAUAAUCAUCCAGCAUGAUAUCUGAAAGUCAUGUCAGCUAAUCAUUUGUAUGCUUCUCAAUUGCACAUCUGCUAAUAUGGGCAUUUGGCUAGUUUAUGAUCCAACUAUCAUCUCCUUCAUAGCUUCAUGCGACUGUGGAAGAUAUGUGGGCAAAAAGUUGUGGCUUGCUCAUAUCAUAUUGAAUAAGCGUUCAGAAUUUCGGCUGGAAUUCACCAGUUUUCGGCAAAUAUCGGUCCUACUGGUUGUGGCCAUUUAAUGACCUUACUGGUAUCUGGAACACUGCAUUGAAUCAGUUCUUCUUUAGACAUCUUGAAUCGAGCAAUAAACAUUCAUGUCCCCUGCACCUUGACGAUGCCAAUCUCAUCUCUUGGAAGAUUUGUGUGCAAGCAGAGCAUAUAUAAGUUGGCAAAAUGCUGUCCUUUGUUCCUGCUUCCUGCUUCCCAAUGACUUGGUUGUAUCAUUGGCAAUCAGGCCUUAGUCAUCCUAUGAUCUACCUGCUGAGCAUAAGAUGUUGUCCAUUUGCACAAGUCUCCAUCCUAAGCAACUUUGAACUGAAUGCUCCUUCAGAGUGCCCUCUUCUAGUUCAUCGGAGUGGGCACACAUGCAUCUGCUGAUUGUCACGCUUUUAGACACUCAUGACAUGGAUAUGAGCUCUGUUGGCAGUCUGGCUAUUAGGAAUUUAUGCCGAUGCUUCUCGCGAAGAUCACAAUCAUCAUCACAAGAAAUGACUUGUGCUCAUCUGAAUUGAUGCUGAACAUGUUUUCUUGCAUCUCUCUGGUUCUUCAAGGAUGCAUGGACCAAAUCAGGUUCAAGCAUAGAAAUUUCCAGAGAAAUCUGGCUCCUAUUAAGAUACUGACAGUCAAAUAGGCCAAUGCUUGGUUUAAUAGUUCUAAUGACAAAUUUAUCAAGCACAAGAAGUACUACAAAUUUUGGGGGCGAUGUUACUGAUGUGUAGAAUAGCAACACCCCAUUUGAAUGUUGAAGAGAGUAACCUUCUUUAAGUCAUUGGCGCCAUCCAUCUUUAAAUCAUCAAUCAGCCAUUUCAACGGCUCCUGGUGUUGAGCAGUUAAAGCGCAUGUAAAUUGGUAUGUCCAAUGAUCAAACUAUGGAUGAGGCAUCAAAGACGUAAAGGAGAGACGGGAUUGUGCACGCAUGUAGGAGACAUAAGAGCUCAACAAGUCAACAAUACGCUUCUGAUGUGCAAGCAAGAAGCAAGGAAACCGAUUGGGAGAGAGCGUGCCAUAGCAAAACGCAAGAAGCCGGAGGCGCAGGAUGUUGUUGGGGGUACCAUGAGGUCGCCGGGAUGAAGGUGAAGCUCAAGAAGCCCCUGCUAGUUCUCAGGAAGAAGGUGAGCGAUGGUGCUGGGGAUCAAGAGCCACCGGCAGCGGAGGUGGAGCUGGAGGUGAUUGGCAUCAUCCGGCACAAAUCCUCUUCAAGGACCGGCCCAAAGCUCUGAAUGUGCGAUUGGUCUAGUAAAGAUUGCUUCUCCCGUGAAAAUCGAUCACGUGUUCUGUGUGGUUGAUUGAUGCCUUGUAUGGACUUCCAUCGCCAUACAGUUUAAGGAUACACGCUUGUGCUCUAUGUUGCUUUCUUGGUGGUUAAGAGUCUGUAAUUGUGAUUCCAUUCAAAUUCAGACCGUAUAUACAUGGCAAGCACUGCACACCCCAGCUGCUUCCUGACACUGACAAGGUAAAAUGGCAUCAUAUUUCAAGACUC
This is an RNA transcript of Panicum virgatum (switchgrass), 3821 nucleotides long. RefSeq lists it as uncharacterized. The transcript is spliced from 8 exons. The record is from RefSeq and is a predicted model, not a curated record. NCBI's taxonomy places the organism in Eukaryota, Viridiplantae, Streptophyta, Magnoliopsida, Poales, Poaceae.